AAUCAACGCUGGCGGCGUGCCUAACACAUGCAAGUCGAACGCGAAAGUGGAGCAAUCCAUGAGUAGAGUGGCAAACGGGUGAGUAACGCGUGGGCGACCUACCUCUGAGUGGGGGAUAACCUUCCGAAAGGAGGGCUAAUACCGCAUGACAUCCCGUGUUUGGAUACACGGACAUCAAAGCCGGGGAUCGCAAGACCUGGCGCUUGGAGAGGGGCCCGCGUCCGAUUAGCUAGUUGGUGAGGUAACGGCUCACCGAGGCUCCGAUCGGUAUCCGGCCUGAGAGGGCGGACGGACACACUGGAACUGAGACACGGUCCAGACUCCUACGGGAGGCAGCAGUGGGGAAUUGUUCGCAAUGGGCGCAAGCCUGACGACGCAACGCCGCGUGGAGGAUGAAGACUUUCGGGUCGUAACU
RNAcentral lists this ribosomal RNA (415 nucleotides) under uncultured bacterium. RNAcentral describes it as "bacterial SSU rRNA". It matches the Rfam family "Bacterial small subunit ribosomal RNA", at positions 32 to 431 of the family's 1533-position model. The record is from RNAcentral.